AGGAGGUUGUCAUGGACAACGAUCACGGUUCUCGACGGGACGUUGACGGAAUAUUCCUUAACGCCGUCGAGAGACUUGAGAAUAUUCUCGAUCAGAGGAACUUCCGAUGAACAACAGAUUCCCAAAACAUCGAAAUCUUUGCAGUAGCGAGAGAAAAAAAUCUAUCACAGCAGCAUCAAAAUCUAAAGUGUGUGUGUUGAGCAUUCAAAACAUGUUUUGGGAACUUACUUUGAUAUCUGUGGGAUACAUAAUUGGAAUGUAGAAGAUCUAUUACUCAUGAGACACACCGAACAAUAUUCAAAGA
Molecule: long non-coding RNA, 304 nt
Organism: Brassica rapa (field mustard)
Lineage: Eukaryota; Viridiplantae; Streptophyta; Magnoliopsida; Brassicales; Brassicaceae
Source: RefSeq, a predicted model, not a curated record